CGAAUUUCAACUCUACUACACCCCGUCACAGGUAAUAUAGCAUAUCCCUUUAUUAUACUAUCAUUAUGAGGCAUAAUCAUAAAAAGCUCAAUCUGCUUACAACAAACAGACCUAAAAUCCCUCAUCGCUUACUCAUCAGUAAGCCAUAUAGUACUAGUAAUCAAAUCCCCUGAAGCUUUAUAGGAGCCACAGCACUAAUAAUUGCCCAUGUACUAACAUCUUCUAUACUAUUCUGUCUAGCAAAUACUAAUUACGAACGAAUUCAUAGUCGAACUAUAACACUAGUCCAAGGCUUACAAUCUAUUCUUCCCCUCAUAGCAACAUGAUGAGUUCUAGCUACACUGACUAAUCUAGCUCUUCCCCCUUCUAUUAAUUUAAUUGGGAAACUGUUCAUUAUCAUAGAGUCAUUCACCUGAUCAAACAUCACAAUUAUCUUAACUGG
Molecule: long non-coding RNA, 442 nt
Filed under: Marmota monax (woodchuck)
Lineage: Eukaryota; Metazoa; Chordata; Mammalia; Rodentia; Sciuridae
Source: RNAcentral